Molecule: ribosomal RNA, 253 nt
Filed under: uncultured bacterium
Lineage: Bacteria
Description: partial 16S ribosomal RNA
Rfam family: Bacterial small subunit ribosomal RNA
Source: RNAcentral
UACGUAGGGUGCGAGCGUUGUCCGGAAUUAUUGGGCGUAAAGGGCUCGUAGGCGGUUUGUCGCGUCGGGAGUGAAAACCAGGUGCUUAACACCUGGCUUGCUUUCGAUACGGGCAGACUAGAGGUAUGCAGGGGAGAACGGAAUUCCUGGUGUAGCGGUGAAAUGCGCAGAUAUCAGGAGGAACACCGGUGGCGAAGGCGGUUCUCUGGGCAUGACCUGACGCUGAGGAGCGAAAGCUAGGGGAGCAAACGGG